ACCUGUGCUCUUCCGAUCUCAUGAGGGAAAAACCUUGAUCGCAAGAUUUCAUCUGCAUCUGAACUCUAGCACCACAGAUCCAAUAACAGGAUGCCCAGAAGCAAUAUGGCAAUGAAAAAUUACAGGUGAUGAGGCAGGAUUAGAAGGAGUAGACAGGCUGCUUGAUGUCUUCGGCAUCUCUAAUCCAAGGAGCCCAUUCUCAGCUAAAAAAUUUGCAGUGGAACUGUGCACAAUCAAUGGCCUGAUCCUCUGCUGGAGGUUUGAAUGGAGUGACGCCUACUCACAUGAGCUGUAAAUCUCUACCCAAGCCGUUUCCUUGUUCAUCCAUCUAUGCCCACUCAUCCCUGCUGCACCAGCUUCUUCAUCCCCCACUGAGCUACCACCUAAUUGCUUCCAUGAGAUGUCAGCUGGAUGAAGCCUGCCCUCUUUAAAUGGCAUUCCCAAUCUCAGCCAACUUUGCGGGUUACACCCCCCUGAACCAAGACUCCCUCUCUUCAUUAUUUCCUUAAUGGUUUCAUUCAUUAAUGAAAUUGCCUAAUUGCACUUAGCCUUAUUCCCUGUCACCACUACGUCAAAAAGGAAAGGAGAGUCAUUAAUCAUGCUCAGUGCUUUUGUCCCUCGCAGAGACAGAAUCUGAUAGAAAGCUAUGAAGAGGUCACAGGCUGCAAAGAAAAAUCACAUAAUAAAGAUAUAUCUGAAGCAUGUUCUUCUCCCACCCCAUAAGCUGAAAUCCAUGUGUUAUGCUAUAAUGCCAGCAGCACUAUAAUUAAAGAGCUUCUGUUUC
Molecule: long non-coding RNA, 784 nt
Organism: Chelonia mydas (Green sea turtle)
Lineage: Eukaryota; Metazoa; Chordata; Testudines; Cheloniidae
Exons: 4
Source: RefSeq, a predicted model, not a curated record